UCGGUCGGGUAGGAGGCGAGGACGGCGGCCGCCUCCCGCGCGGCCGCCGCCGCCCCGCCGGGUUCCGUCACCUCGCUGACCAGGCC
RNAcentral lists this transfer RNA (86 nucleotides) under Streptomyces sp. NE5-10. RNAcentral's name for it is "tRNA-Gly". Lineage: Bacteria; Bacillati; Actinomycetota; Actinomycetes; Kitasatosporales; Streptomycetaceae. The record is from RNAcentral.